GGCUAAUCUGCCCUUGGGACGAGAACAACCCCGGGAAACUGGGGCUAAUUCUCGAUAGGCGAAGAACUCUGGAAUGAGUCUUCACCCAAACGGUUUAGGGUUAUGCUCUCUGAAUCGCCCAAGGAUGAGGCCGCGACCGAUCAGGUUGUUGGUGAGGUAAUGGCUCACCAAGCCUUUUACCGGUGCGGGCCGUGAGAGCGGGAGCCCGGAGAUGGGCACUGAGACAAGGGCCCAGGCCCUACGGGGCGCAGCAGUCGCGAAAACUUUGCAAUAAGCGAAAGCUUGACAGGGCUAUCCCGAGUGCCAUCCGCUGAGGAAGGCUUUUACCCAGUCUAGAACGCUGGGGGAAUAAGGAGAGGGCAAGUCUGGUGUCAGCCGCCGCGGUAAUACCAGCUCUUCGAGUGGUGUGGACGUUUAUUGGGCCUAAAGCAUCCGUAGCUGGCUAAGUUAGUCCCUUGUUAAAUCCACCGAAUUAAUCGUUGGAUUGCGAGGGAUACUGCUUGGCUAGGGGACGAGAGAGGCAGACGGUAUUUUCGGGGUAGGGGUGAAAUCCUAUAAUCCCGGGAAGACCACCAGUGGCGAAGGCUGUCUGCUAGAACGCGCCCGACGGUGAGGGAUGAAAGCUGGGGGAGCGAACCGGAUUAGAUACCCGGGUAGUCCCAGCUGUAAACGAUGCAGGCUAGGUGUUUGGACGGCCACGUGCCGUUCUAGUGCCGCAGGGAAGCUGUUAAGCCUGCCGCCUGGGGAGUACGAUCGCAAGAUUGAAACUUAA
This 772-nucleotide ribosomal RNA is filed under the name uncultured archaeon. RNAcentral describes it as "bacterial SSU rRNA". It matches the Rfam family "Archaeal small subunit ribosomal RNA", at positions 102 to 859 of the family's 1478-position model. The record is from RNAcentral.